Molecule: ribosomal RNA, 2931 nt
Filed under: Escherichia coli
Lineage: Bacteria; Pseudomonadati; Pseudomonadota; Gammaproteobacteria; Enterobacterales; Enterobacteriaceae
Description: 23S ribosomal RNA
Rfam family: Bacterial large subunit ribosomal RNA
Source: RNAcentral
GGGUUGUGAGGUUAAGCGACUAAGCGUACACGGUGGAUGCCCUGGCAGUCAGAGGCGAUGAAGGACGUGCUAAUCUGCGAUAAGCGUCGGUAAGGUGAUAUGAACCGUUAUAACCGGCGAUUUCCGAAUGGGGAAACCCAGUGUGAUUCGUCACACUAUCAUUAACUGAAUCCAUAGGUUAAUGAGGCGAACCGGGGGAACUGAAACAUCUAAGUACCCCGAGGAAAAGAAAUCAACCGAGAUUCCCCCAGUAGCGGCGAGCGAACGGGGAGCAGCCCAGAGCCUGAAUCAGUGUGUGUGUUAGUGGAAGCGUCUGGAAAGGCGCGCGAUACAGGGUGACAGCCCCGUACACAAAAAUGCACAUGCUGUGAGCUCGAUGAGUAGGGCGGGACACGUGGUAUCCUGUCUGAAUAUGGGGGGACCAUCCUCCAAGGCUAAAUACUCCUGACUGACCGAUAGUGAACCAGUACCGUGAGGGAAAGGCGAAAAGAACCCCGGCGAGGGGAGUGAAAAAGAACCUGAAACCGUGUACGUACAAGCAGUGGGAGCACGCUUAGGCGUGUGACUGCGUACCUUUUGUAUAAUGGGUCAGCGACUUAUAUUCUGUAGCAAGGUUAACCGAAUAGGGGAGCCGAAGGGAAACCGAGUCUUAACUGGGCGUUAAGUUGCAGGGUAUAGACCCGAAACCCGGUGAUCUAGCCAUGGGCAGGUUGAAGGUUGGGUAACACUAACUGGAGGACCGAACCGACUAAUGUUGAAAAAUUAGCGGAUGACUUGUGGCUGGGGGUGAAAGGCCAAUCAAACCGGGAGAUAGCUGGUUCUCCCCGAAAGCUAUUUAGGUAGCGCCUCGUGAAUUCAUCUCCGGGGGUAGAGCACUGUUUCGGCAAGGGGGUCAUCCCGACUUACCAACCCGAUGCAAACUGCGAAUACCGGAGAAUGUUAUCACGGGAGACACACGGCGGGUGCUAACGUCCGUCGUGAAGAGGGAAACAACCCAGACCGCCAGCUAAGGUCCCAAAGUCAUGGUUAAGUGGGAAACGAUGUGGGAAGGCCCAGACAGCCAGGAUGUUGGCUUAGAAGCAGCCAUCAUUUAAAGAAAGCGUAAUAGCUCACUGGUCGAGUCGGCCUGCGCGGAAGAUGUAACGGGGCUAAACCAUGCACCGAAGCUGCGGCAGCGACGCUGAUGCGUUGUUGGGUAGGGGAGCGUUCUGUAAGCCUGCGAAGGUGUGCUGUGAGGCAUGCUGGAGGUAUCAGAAGUGCGAAUGCUGACAUAAGUAACGAUAAAGCGGGUGAAAAGCCCGCUCGCCGGAAGACCAAGGGUUCCUGUCCAACGUUAAUCGGGGCAGGGUGAGUCGACCCCUAAGGCGAGGCCGAAAGGCGUAGUCGAUGGGAAACAGGUUAAUAUUCCUGUACUUGGUGUUACUGCGAAGGGGGGACGGAGAAGGCUAUGUUGGCCGGGCGACGGUUGUCCCGGUUUAAGCGUGUAGGCUGGUUUUCCAGGCAAAUCCGGAAAAUCAAGGCUGAGGCGUGAUGACGAGGCACUACGGUGCUGAAGCAACAAAUGCCCUGCUUCCAGGAAAAGCCUCUAAGCAUCAGGUAACAUCAAAUCGUACCCCAAACCGACACAGGUGGUCAGGUAGAGAAUACCAAGGCGCUUGAGAGAACUCGGGUGAAGGAACUAGGCAAAAUGGUGCCGUAACUUCGGGAGAAGGCACGCUGAUAUGUAGGUGAAGUCCCUCGCGGAUGGAGCUGAAAUCAGUCGAAGAUACCAGCUGGCUGCAACUGUUUAUUAAAAACACAGCACUGUGCAAACACGAAAGUGGACGUAUACGGUGUGACGCCUGCCCGGUGCCGGAAGGUUAAUUGAUGGGGUCAGCGCAAGCGAAGCUCUUGAUCGAAGCCCCGGUAAACGGCGGCCGUAACUAUAACGGUCCUAAGGUAGCGAAAUUCCUUGUCGGGUAAGUUCCGACCUGCACGAAUGGCGUAAUGAUGGCCAGGCUGUCUCCACCCGAGACUCAGUGAAAUUGAACUCGCUGUGAAGAUGCAGUGUACCCGCGGCAAGACGGAAAGACCCCGUGAACCUUUACUAUAGCUUGACACUGAACAUUGAGCCUUGAUGUGUAGGAUAGGUGGGAGGCUUUGAAGUGUGGACGCCAGUCUGCAUGGAGCCGACCUUGAAAUACCACCCUUUAAUGUUUGAUGUUCUAACGUUGACCCGUAAUCCGGGUUGCGGACAGUGUCUGGUGGGUAGUUUGACUGGGGCGGUCUCCUCCUAAAGAGUAACGGAGGAGCACGAAGGUUGGCUAAUCCUGGUCGGACAUCAGGAGGUUAGUGCAAUGGCAUAAGCCAGCUUGACUGCGAGCGUGACGGCGCGAGCAGGUGCGAAAGCAGGUCAUAGUGAUCCGGUGGUUCUGAAUGGAAGGGCCAUCGCUCAACGGAUAAAAGGUACUCCGGGGAUAACAGGCUGAUACCGCCCAAGAGUUCAUAUCGACGGCGGUGUUUGGCACCUCGAUGUCGGCUCAUCACAUCCUGGGGCUGAAGUAGGUCCCAAGGGUAUGGCUGUUCGCCAUUUAAAGUGGUACGCGAGCUGGGUUUAGAACGUCGUGAGACAGUUCGGUCCCUAUCUGCCGUGGGCGCUGGAGAAUUGAGGGGGGCUGCUCCUAGUACGAGAGGACCGGAGUGGACGCAUCACUGGUGUUCGGGUUGUCAUGCCAAUGGCAUUGCCCGGUAGCUAAAUGCGGAAGAGAUAAGUGCUGAAAGCAUCUAAGCACGAAACUUGCCCCGAGAUGAGUUCUCCCUGACUCCUUGAGAGUCCUGAAGGAACGUUGAAGACGACGACGUUGAUAGGCCGGGUGUGUAAGCGCAGCGAUGCGUUGAGCUAACCGGUACUAAUGAACCGUGAGGCUUAACCUUACAACGCCGAAGGUGUUU